RNAcentral lists this ribosomal RNA (603 nucleotides) under Triticum aestivum (bread wheat). RNAcentral describes it as "partial small subunit ribosomal RNA". Lineage: Eukaryota; Viridiplantae; Streptophyta; Magnoliopsida; Poales; Poaceae. The record is from RNAcentral.
CUGGCCCAAGUGUGGGCUGAGGGUGAACUCAGGUUAACUUUCAGGAGAUGUGUGAAUGGGGAAACUUUGACCAGAUGGGAGGAUCUGGUGAAUAUUAUGAAACAAGUGGUGCUGUCCAAUAUACCAAAUCAACCUGUCUGGAGGCUGGACCCUUCUGGUAAAUAUUCAGUUAGGUCUUUUUAUAAGCUAAUCAAUUUUGGAGGGAUCGUUUCUGUGAUCAAAGAUGACAUCUGGAAAAUUAAAGUUCCACCUAAUAUCCAUGUAUUCCUUUGGCUAAUAUACUACAAUAAGAGUUUAACUAGAGACAAUUUGGCCAAACGCAGACAUGUUGAAGAUAAGACAUGUGUUUUUUGUGAUGAACUAGAAACUAUUCAACACUUGUUUUUUGACUGCAUUGUUGCUAGGCAGGUCUGGGCCUUUGUGGCUGAAUCCUUUUCAAUUGACAUUCCUGUUUCUUUUACUGUGUUAUCUUCCUUUUGGAAGAAACGAAAACAUUGUAAAGCUUUGAAUAUAGUUACGGUUGCUACCUUGUGGAGCUUAUGGCGCUUGCGCAAUGACUUUGUUUUCCAGGGCGAAGAUGGCGAAAUAUUCACUGUGUCUUGA